Molecule: unclassified non-coding RNA, 247 nt
Filed under: Hevea brasiliensis (rubber tree)
Lineage: Eukaryota; Viridiplantae; Streptophyta; Magnoliopsida; Malpighiales; Euphorbiaceae
Source: RNAcentral
GUUGGAUGGUGCUGAAAUGCUUGCAUGUGGCCUUGCUACUCACUUUGUCGCUUCAGAGAGAUUGACGGACUUAGAGGAAGCACUUUGCAGAGCAGAUACAAGUCAACCAAGCAUCAUUUCAGCAAUUAUUGAUAAAUUUUCCAGAAGACCAAUUCUUAAAGAUACAAGUGUUUAUCACCGGUUGGAUGUUAUUGACAAGUGCUUCUCUCGAAGAACAGUUGAAGACAUUUUGGCUGCUCUUGAAGAG